AGUAAAGAAUGAAUAUUAGAUCUUUUUCAACACCUAAAUAUUAUAUGACAAGUAACAAAAUAACGACCAACACAUCGUCAAUUUAGAAAAAACUGUACAACUUUAUUUAUAGAAAAAAUAAAAUCCAUGUAACUCCCUCACUCUGAUGGUACAUGUUGUCUGCCGCAUAUCUAAAAUGUGUAACAGCCUCCUCAACGGACUGAAACUGGCUUAUAUUGUCAUGCAUGUACGCAGCCGAUGACAUAUAUGGUUUAAAUGUAUAAAUCUUUGAAAUUGGGAAUAAAGAGGCAGUAUGUCAUUGGCUACCUUGUCUGUGCAAAGCAGGAGGAGAUGCUACCGGCGAUGAUAGAUGUGGAAAAGGUGAAGGAGUGUCCUUUGAUAUGCCGCAACCAUGACCAUAAACAUUCAUGAAGAUACGACUAUGCUUAUCAAGGACAUGAAAAACUAAAGUGCAUAUUGGAUGUGGACACUGAGUUUGGAUGAGCAAGAUUAUGAAUCUGAACCAAACUGUCACUCUGACAUAGACAAGUACAUAAUGAGCAUUACAAACAAUAAUAAUAAACAUGAAGAACAUCAAAAAAAUAAAAUUAAAAUCUUACCAGAUAGUUAAACAUUGCACCAC
RNAcentral lists this long non-coding RNA (622 nucleotides) under Elaeis guineensis (African oil palm). RNAcentral describes it as "long non-coding RNA (EGUI_LNC078549)". The record is from RNAcentral. Lineage: Eukaryota; Viridiplantae; Streptophyta; Magnoliopsida; Arecales; Arecaceae.